Molecule: ribosomal RNA, 253 nt
Filed under: uncultured bacterium
Lineage: Bacteria
Description: partial 16S ribosomal RNA
Rfam family: Bacterial small subunit ribosomal RNA
Source: RNAcentral
UACAGAGGGGGCAAGCGUUGUUCGGAAUUACUGGGCGUAAAGGGCGCGUAGGCGGCCUUCUAAGUCGAACGUGAAAUCCCCGGGCUCAACCCGGGAACUGCGUCCGAUACUGGAGGGCUUGAAUCCGGGAGAGGGAUGUGGAAUUCCAGGUGUAGCGGUGAAAUGCGUAUAUAUCUGGAGGAACACCGGUGGCGAAGGCGACAUCCUGGACCGGUAUUGACGCUGAGGCGCGAAAGCCAGGGGAGCAAACGGG